This 553-nucleotide ribosomal RNA is filed under the name Geastrum campestre. RNAcentral's name for it is "eukaryotic LSU rRNA". The stretch from base 167 to 321 matches the Rfam family "5.8S ribosomal RNA". The record is from RNAcentral. Lineage: Eukaryota; Fungi; Basidiomycota; Agaricomycetes; Geastrales; Geastraceae.
CAUUACCGAAGUCAUAGAGUUUGAGACUGCGUCUUCAAUGGCGUGUGCUCGGCUCUUACUCUUCCCUAUCCACACCUUUGUGCACCAUGGGAUGAAAUAAAAGUCCCCUUUUUUAUAUUAAUACCUAGUUAUAUGCAUGUCCUUAUAUACUCUAAGGAGUUAAUACAACUUUCAACAACGGAUCUCUUGGCUUUCGCAUCGAUGAAGAACGCAGCGAAUGUGCGAGACGUAAUGUGAAUUGCAGAAUUCAGUGAAUCAUCGAAUCUUUGAACGCAUCUUGCGCUCCUUGGCAUUCCGAGGAGCAUGCCUGUUUGAGUGUCGUGAUACUGUCAAUUUCACUCUUUUUGUUUGAAAUUGGACUUGAAUGCUGUCGUGGAGUGCCUUACGACUCAUUCUAAAUGCAUUAGCGAUCUGCCUUUGAUCACACAAUGUGAUAAUCCAAAAGCAUUGUUUGUAUUCAAGUGGAGAUGGCUUCUAACUGUCGAAAGACAAAGUGAAUGUCAUUUGACCUCAAAUCAGGUAGGACUACCCGCUGAACUUAAGCAUAUCAAUA